CAAUAGCGUAUAUUAAAGUUGUUGCAGUUAAAAAGCUCGUAGUUGGAUUUGUGGCGUACGUUCGGCUCCCUUCGCCAUUGUGUGUCGGUUUGCCUAGCGUUGCCAUCCUUGGGUGGAAUCUGUGUGGCAUUAGGUUGUCGUGCAGGGGAUACCCAUCGUUUACUGUGAGAAAAUUAGAGUGUUCAAAGCAGGCUUAUGCCGUUGAAUAUAUUAGCAUGGAAUAAUAAGAUAGGACCUUGGUACUAUUUUGUUGGUUUGCGCACCGAGGUAAUGAUUAAUAGGGAUGGUUGGGGUUAUUCGUAUUUCAUUGUCAGAGGUGAAAUUCUUGGAUUUUUGAAAGACGAACUACUGCGAAAGCAUUUAACAAGGAUGUUUUCAUUAAUCAAGAACGAAAGUUAGGGGAUCGAAGAUGAUUAGAUACCAU
RNAcentral lists this ribosomal RNA (424 nucleotides) under uncultured eukaryote. RNAcentral describes it as "SSU rRNA". It matches the Rfam family "Eukaryotic small subunit ribosomal RNA", at positions 592 to 1018 of the family's 1831-position model. The record is from RNAcentral.